AAAAAUAAAAAAACAGUGCCAUGAAGAUCAGAGGUGGAGGAGUCAUACAUGACAGCAAUAUGAAAUGAUAAUAACAAUAAAUAAAUGAGAGAGGAAACAAAGAUAACCCUCAGAUUUUACUGGGAAAUCACUAAUAGACAGCCACUCUUCAAGGGAAAUCUUAUUUAACUUAGAGAUUAAAGCUGCAAAAGCCACAAAGCAAAGAUCUCAGGGUGUAUGGAGAUGGCAGCCUCUGCAUGAGCAUGGACUAAACAUCAAAAGAACACUAUCUUCGAGAAUAGACCUUUUUAUAACAAUUUUUACAAAAUUUACUAAAUUUGUAUGCAACUGCUAGGUUAGCAUAACCAAGUAUUAUGAGUAUCUAUGUAAUGUAAGCAAGUUAACUGUUCUGUUUGUGAUCAGGUUAGCUUUCUUGACCAUUCCCAUGGAAAGUCCCGACUUAAGUUUCACUUUUAAAUCCUUUUUCACCUGCAGUGUCUUUCUGUUAUAUUUCCUUUAGCUUGACUACAGCCAAGAUGGGCUUUUGCUGCCUAUAAUUAUUGUUCAGGCUUUGCAGAUCCACUCUGUAUAUGGUUAAUCUCUUUCUAAUGUUAUGCUUAGUAACUACGGUUUGCAAAUGAGUAAGAUUAGAUGGUAGGUCUCCAUUAUAACUGCCCAUGCAAGUUCUCCAGCUGUCUUUGGGAAGAAAAUUUAACAACCUACAGGUGGUUUCAGCUCUGCGUGACAUUGCCAGGAAGGAGACUGGGAGCACUCACACAUAGAGACUGUUAACAGGCAGUUGAGUAAGUGGCCUUCCUCCUGCUUUUCUGCUUUUAUUUUCCAUCUCCAGACAAUAUUUAAUGUAAGACUGUGUGAGUGCUCCUAGUCUCUUCCAAGGCCAAAUCAAAAAAAGGGCUCAUCACAGUUUAUCUGGGAAGUGGUAACUAACAGGUGAACAUGCCCAUAGGACAUGAAGUGUCCUUGGUCCUCGACUGUGUGGAUGGAGCUAUGGUCAGUUCUCGCUGCUCUGCCACUCUCCCUCAUUUUAAGGAAUGCUUGGCUUCUUAUGAAGCCAGUAACUUCUUGAAAAUGCAAUAAAAAUUAUGCAGGCCAAAAUUUGCAUUGGAUAAAUCAACAUCCUUGCCAUCAGCAUUUUGGGGAUUGUUGGUGGAUUUUUUGUUGUUGCUUUGUUUUGUUUUGUUUAUGGUAUGGGAAGAACUGCAACACUUUCUUGCAAUGGACUUCUGAGUCCAGAUGACAGUGCUGUGGCCCAUACAGGGUUUUAAGGCAAAUCAUGGAAACUGCAUUUGGUUUUGGUGCUGAUGCAUGAAAUAGGUUGAUUCCUAACAUACAGAUACUUUUCUUCAGAAGGUCCUGUUUGGACAUUCAGCAUUGUUGCAACACUAGUCUUUUGGCUUGUGUGGCCUGUUAGUGCAUGGUAUGCCACUAUUUAUUUUUUUUUUUCAAACUGUAUAUGCUUGAAUUAGCAUGAGGGAGUAUGAAAGUGCUUGGGACUUCACUGCAGUAUUUAAGAACUGCAUGCUGAGAUUUAGGCAGACAGUUGAAGAUGCACGUGAGAUGCAGGAUUUGACUAGAUGGGAAACCUACAGCUUGCGCAGCAACAGUGGCAGUGUGCAGAUGUAAAACCACACAGGAGGACAACUAUGACCUAGCCACACACCUUCCUCUGCUAAAUUUUGGGGAAGAGACCCACCACUGUUUGUCUGCAUAGGUAGACAGAAAGCUGCAGGUAGUUAUCUUCUUUGCUCUGCCCUGUAAAAAAUGAAAGCAUGGUCUUGUCCAGCGGUAGCCAGUAUUUACGAAGAAACCUCAACUACAGUGCUACUAAUGCUGCACAAGCAGCUUUGGAAGGGUUUUCACGAAGACGUGAAGCUGCUAAAUCCGAGGAGGGGAAGAGACUGAUGCAGUUAUGCAUGUACACAUAUAUUGUCUGUAAGGCUUUUACCGAGUUUUGAAAGGCCAAAGCAUCUAUAUGAUUCUUUAUGUAGGCCUUUGCAUCUAAUGAUGUGAAUGGCUUUGGGUAAGCAGUUUCUUAUAGGAUGACCUUGGCAAGUUGCAUUUGUUCUGUAACUACAACCUGGCCUCGGGUGUCAGCGUUCCAGAGAUUUUGUGGUAGGACAAAGUGUUCCCACCUUCUCCUUGUAUCACUUCCAGGAAAGAUUUUGGCAAAAUCCCCUGGAUCUGCACAGAACCUACAGAUUUAAGAUGUCUUUGCACAGCCAGAGGCUGAGAUCAUGGCUGUCUAACUACAGUUGGAUAUUUUCAUAUCUGCCAAGUUUAGCCUUAAAUAAAUAAAUGAAAAAA
Molecule: long non-coding RNA, 2304 nt
Organism: Oxyura jamaicensis (ruddy duck)
Lineage: Eukaryota; Metazoa; Chordata; Aves; Anseriformes; Anatidae
Exons: 2
Source: RefSeq, a predicted model, not a curated record